Long non-coding RNA from Daphnia magna, 1805 nucleotides. RefSeq lists it as uncharacterized. NCBI's taxonomy places the organism in Eukaryota, Metazoa, Arthropoda, Branchiopoda, Diplostraca, Daphniidae. The record is from RefSeq and is a predicted model, not a curated record. The transcript has 3 exons.
UGUAUUUCACUGACGAUUCGAGAAGGAAACAGAGAAAAACCUAUCUCGAAAAUCAACACAACUUCUACGGACUCGCUCUUUCGGAAGUGGGCCAAUACGGGCAACAGACGCAAAUCACGAAGCCCCUAAAGGCAAUCGCCCUCCCUCUUCUAUUCUAUUGCAGUUUGCAGGAAUGCCUCGCUUGAAAUGACGCAAAAUCCGGUCGAAUUCAUAGAAGCAGCGAGCCAGAAUUGUUUGUGUUGCGUGCACUCCUUAAACAGCAAGUUUUUUAUGGUUGGCUGGUUUCGUCCGCCUAAAGAGAACUUUUGGCCUGCCUCCGGAAUAGUAGGUGGGGAACGCUCCUUAUAUGGGUACUUUUUGCUGAUAAUCGAAGGUCGUGCUAUCAGUCACGCUUGACUACCCUAUACACGCCCCGGCAUCCGCAUAACAAGAAAUUCUACUAUAUUUUACGUUAUAGUCACCAGAAUUACCAAUUUAUUGCACAAUAAAAGACGCUGUACGUUUAUGCGAUCUCUAGAGCAACCAGAGUUGCUGAUAAGUUUCAAAAACAAAACUAGGGCGGGAUGUGCGUAUGUGUGUGAGCGAUAAGUACAACCUUGAAUUUUUGUUUGCUGACAGAGCUAUGUCGUUGAAGAUCCGCAGGCUGAAUGCGAGUUAACUUCAUGGUGUUGAUAACAUUGUUCGGUUUUGUUGAUAACACAGCGACCAUCUAUGAGCCCCACCGUUGAGUCUAAGAUAGUAUGAUAACGAACAGAACCUAAACCCAUUCAAGAUCUUCGGGCACGCGUCGUUCUUUCAACAUGUUCGUCUUGAUCUAGAAUUAAAGAAACAGAGCUUAAACAGAUACAGACAAUCAUUUCAAAUAGUUUACAUUGCGUUCACUAAUGACGGCAAUAAAACAGGAAUUUCACUUUAGUUUGGAGUCUGAAUUACUUUUCUGAAAUGGGCAAGUUAAGCUUUUUAAUUCGUUAGAUUCCAUUGUUGGCUUUAGGCGACAUAGGAUAUGACGGCAGCUUGGUUUUGAAUCAGCAAAACUUCUUCAAGUAGUUUGAUGUAAUCUAUUGCUCGUCUCUAGGAUAAUGAUCAAGGUGUACAGGUUAUGCAUAUAGUUUGCAGGUUCAUCCAUCCACAGACAUGUAGCCUACCAAAAUUGAGACCUUACUGGUACGCCGCGCUCUUGCAUCAUCGCAAAUUUUGGUUUUAUCUGUCGUGUUUCCUUCGUGUUCUCUGCCAAUCAGAUGUUUGAAAAAGAUAGAAUUUUUGACUUGACUAUACAACUCGAAUUUGAUCAAUUCAACAGCUCUUACAACAAUGGUGAAUAGGAUUUACUGACCCAAAUUCCGCUGGGACGACUUGGUGAAGUUUGGAAAAGGCAAUGUUGACCUAUUUUUUAGAAAAUUUUUUGUAUAUCGAACACGAUAGUCAUUUCUAGUUAAUUCGCUCACCGACUGAACGCGACGUCUCUCUCGUGCAUUUCUCCGCGCUACCUGGAACGCUGGACGAACACUAUGAGGAAUGUGUGGAAUGUGACGGAAACCGGAUUUCAUUUACGUAUGGAAACUUACGUCUCUGCUCCCGUGGCGCAAUUGUCGUCCAAGUAUUUCAUGACAGAUGUUCCGUUGCUGUAGGAACGGAUGAUUUCGUCGUUACCCAUUGUCGAAGAGGUCCAGGCCAUAGAAAAAACAUUUGCCUCUGUAAAUGUGGAAUUAGUUAUAGCGCUUCGCAUCGAAAAACCAAAUAAUGAAAACUUCUAUUUUGUAGUUUUUGAAAUAUCUAAAUUGUAAUUAAAUGGCUUUUACCGGAGA